This 94-nucleotide signal recognition particle RNA is filed under the name Myxococcales bacterium. Its description in RNAcentral is "signal recognition particle sRNA small type". It matches the Rfam family "Bacterial small signal recognition particle RNA". Rfam says of the family: The signal recognition particle (SRP) is a universally conserved ribonucleoprotein involved in the co-translational targeting of proteins to membranes. Archaeal SRP consists of a 7S RNA and homologues of the eukaryotic SRP19 and SRP54 proteins. In most bacteria, the SRP consists of a 4.5S RNA and the Ffh protein (a homologue of the eukaryotic SRP54 protein). The record is from RNAcentral. Lineage: Bacteria; Pseudomonadati; Myxococcota; Myxococcia; Myxococcales.
GGCAAGGCCGGCGGCAACGGCUUUCCGCGAACCCCGCCAGGCCCGAGAGGGAGCAACGGUAGUGUGAGAGUCGUGUGCCGCCGGCCCUGCCGGU